This 831-nucleotide ribosomal RNA is filed under the name uncultured archaeon. RNAcentral's name for it is "bacterial SSU rRNA". It matches the Rfam family "Archaeal small subunit ribosomal RNA", at positions 90 to 922 of the family's 1478-position model. The record is from RNAcentral.
UCAGUAACGCGUAGUCAACCUACCCUAUGGACAAGAAUANUCUCGGGAAACUGAGCAUAAUUCUUGAUAGAUCAUAAUGCCUGGAAUGGUUUAUGGUUAAAAUGAUUCGUCGCCAUAGGAUGGGACUGCGGCCUAUCAGCUUGUUGGUGAGGUAAUGGCCCACCAAGGCGAUUACAGGUACGGGCUCUGAGAGGAGAAGCCCGGAGAUGGGUACUGAGACAAGGACCCAGGCCCUAUGGGGCGCAGCAGGCGAGAAAACUUUGCAAUGUGCGAAAGCACGACAAGGUUAGUCCGAGUGAUUUCUGCUAAAGAGAUCUUUUGCUAGUUAUAAAACCACUAGUGAAUAAGGGGUGGGCAAGUUCUGGUGUCAGCCGCCGCGGUAAAACCAGCACCUCAAGUGGUCAGGAUGAUUAUUGGGCCUAAAGCAUCCGUAGCCGGCUCUGUAAGUUUUCGGUUAAAUCUAUGCGCUCAACGUAUGGGCUGCCGAAAAUACUGUAGAGAUAGGGAGUGGGAGAGGUAGACGGUACUCGGUAGGAAGGGGUAAAAUCCUUUGAUCUAUCGAUGACCACCUGUGGCGAAGGCGGUCUACCAGAACACGUUCGACGUUGGGGGAUGAAAGCUGGGGGAGCAAACCGGAUUAGAUACCCGGGUAGUCCCAGCUGUAAACGAUGCAGACUCGAUGAUGCAUUGGCAUAUAGCCAGUGCAGUGUCGCAGGGAAGCCGUUAAGUCUGCCGCCUGGGAAGUACGUACGCAAGUAUGAAACUUAAAGGAAUUGGCGGGGGAGCACCACAAGGGGUGAAGCCUGCGGUUCAAUUGGAGUCAACGCCGGA